GCUCCGGUGGUGUAGUCCGGUCAAGCAUAACGGCCUUUCGAGCCGUUGAUCCCGGGUUCAAAUCCCGGCCGGAGCACCA
Molecule: transfer RNA, 79 nt
Filed under: Candidatus Nitrosocaldaceae archaeon
Lineage: Archaea; Thermoproteati; Nitrososphaerota; Nitrososphaeria; Candidatus Nitrosocaldales; Candidatus Nitrosocaldaceae
Also listed under: 1 other name
Description: tRNA-Glu
Rfam family: tRNA
About the family: Transfer RNA (tRNA) molecules are approximately 80 nucleotides in length. Their secondary structure includes four short double-helical elements and three loops (D, anti-codon, and T loops).
Source: RNAcentral